Osmia bicornis bicornis is the source of this 1357-nucleotide long non-coding RNA. RefSeq lists it as uncharacterized. The record is from RefSeq and is a predicted model, not a curated record. The transcript has 8 exons. Lineage: Eukaryota; Metazoa; Arthropoda; Insecta; Hymenoptera; Megachilidae.
UGUUUUAAUAAAAUAUUUAUUCAAAUGCUUACUGACUGAUUAUAAAUAAAUAUUUUGAAAACUUUAUUCCUUUCAAGUCUUUCCUGGUUCAAACCAGACACGUACUGAAGAUGCGUGUAUAUACGUAUAUUUGUAUAAUUUGCGCAUAUCAGAAUUAUUUUACAUUAUUGUAACACUAAUAAAUCGUACUUAAUAAAUAAAUAAAAAUUAUCAUUUUACAAGUAAUUUCCUUGUAAAAUAAAAUCAAAAUUCUUCAAGAGAAGCACUGUAAUUUCAAACAGCCGCGCCAUCUAUGCACAGAAACAUGAAUUUAGUCGCAGAUACCUGCUUUGCUCACGGGGGAUUAGGGUCACGUGAUCAUAGAGGGCCGGCAGCCGCCAUUUCGUGUCGGGACGCUAUCGUGGAGUGACGCAUUUAAAUUCUUCGUACGGUUAUUGCGAUUUUUGCACGUUUUAGUGAGAUAUAUGCAAAAGUAGUGCUUUAAUUAGUUGACUAACGGAUAAUGUUGAACGUAGAGUAGUAUUUUGACGGGCGUAACGCGAGUAAACACGGGAAAAGUGAACGAGAAUUGUUUGUUGCCGGUGUCUCGUUUGAAUCGUGUGUGAGAGGUCGCUGCUCAAGGGGAACGCUGUUCAAAAGGACGAGAUUAUUCACAAGCAUAAGCUGUUCGUAGAGGUUUUGCAGAAUUAGCGUGGGCGGCAUACCGGCUUAAGGAGAGGACGGACGUGUAGCCAGAGUGUCGUCGCCGCUUUCCAGGCAACCGCUUCCGGUAUUUAGGGAGCUCUUUGUUUUCACCCUUCAAAACAAACUGGAGGCUACACACCAUAACAGUUUCCAUUCCAUACUAAUUGCUGCGCGACGGAAAGCUGUUCUUCACGCGAAACAUAAGAGACCUGGAAUCUGAAGUUCCACAGCGCUAAAAAGCUGGACGUGUGCAUCUGCAGAUAUGGCAACAUCCCUCACGUGGCUCACGACGAUGUCCUUCGCCAUGUCCGUAGGACAGUCCAACACUACGUAUUUGUUGCUCCACCUGUGAAUUAUUCGAACACUUUCAUCGUGUCUUUUUCGAAAAAGAAGCCGGGGGAAGGUUGGUUUGGUCGCGAACGCACAUUAGCUCGAAUCGUUUCAACUCUUCUACGACAAUUUCAACCAUAAUGAAGAACGAUCGCGGUGAUGAAUCAACUGCAAUUACUGGCUUAUACGCGACACGCGGAAAUGGAUGGGGUUUGUUUACACGUCGGGACAACUGAAGGCGUAACUAUCCAUUGAUGGGUGUUGCACGAGCAAACGACUGUAGCCGAUUUUCUACGAUAUCUGGCUGGAAUGUUGGCCACUGGAGAACCGGAGAACGGAUGAA